AUUCUACUCCCUCCGUUGCACAAUACAUGCCUUCUAUUUGUCAAAAUAUAUAUGUAUCUAGACAUGUCUUAGUAUAUAGGUACAUCCAUUUUUGGACAAAUGGAAGUCAAGUAUUUUGGAACGGAGGGAGUACACA
Triticum aestivum (bread wheat) is the source of this 136-nucleotide non-coding RNA. NCBI's taxonomy places the organism in Eukaryota, Viridiplantae, Streptophyta, Magnoliopsida, Poales, Poaceae. The record is from Rfam.